GGGGGACGGUUAUCCGGAUAUUGGGCGUAAGCGCGCCAGGCGGUCUCUUAAGUCUGAUGUGAAAUCCCCCGGCUCAACCGGGGAGGGUCAUUGGAAACUGGGAGACUUGAGUGCUGGAGAGAAGAGUGGAAUUCCACGUGUAGCGGUGAAAUGCGUAGAGAUGUGGAGGAACACCAGUGGCGAAGGCGACUCUCUGGCCUGUAACUGACACUGAGGCGCGAAAGCGUGGGGAGCAAACAGGAUUAGAUACCCUGGUAGUCCACGCCGUAAACGAUGACUGCUUGGUGGUAGAGGGCUUCCGCCCUUUAUUGCUGCACCAAACGCAUUAAUCACUCCGCCGGGGGAGUACGGCCGCAAGGCUGAAACUCAAAGGAAUUGACGGGGGCCCCCCCAACCGGGGGAGCAUGUGGUUUAAUUCAAACCACCGCGAAAAACCUUACCACGUCUUGACAUCCUAUGACUUUCCUAAAAAUAAGUGGUUCCCCCUCGGGGGAUAAAAUGAGAGGUGGUUGGUUGUUGUCAUCUCCUCUUGUCAAGAGAUGUGGGGAGUCCUCCCACGACGAGCGCCCUUCUUCAUCUUUGUUGCCAGCAUUCGCCUUGGGCACUCUAAGGUGAUGGCCGGUGACACUGGAAGAAAGUGGGGAAUAACUCCAGACCUCCUUGCCCCUUAUAAUAUGGGUUACACACGUGUUAAUGGCGUGGUACAGAGGAGCGACCUCCGCGAGGUAGCGGACUCCUAAAAAGCACUCUCACCCGAAUGGAAUCCGCGACCUCACUCAUUAAAUCUGAACUCUCUUUAUCCUCGAAUCACUGCUCGCGGGAAAAACUUCUUCGGGCUUUUUACACCCCCCGUUCACCCUGGGAGAGUUUUGCAAACCAAUACGUAGCUGAACCUCUAGAGGCGCUCCCCCUUGUGAUCAAGAUGGGGGAACUACAAGGGAACCCCAAAAAAAAAAAGGGGGGGCGCGGGGGGAGCAAGGAGGGGGGGGGGGGGUCCCAAGAGGCGGGGACCCCG
RNAcentral lists this ribosomal RNA (1015 nucleotides) under Robertmurraya korlensis. Its description in RNAcentral is "Bacillus korlensis partial 16S ribosomal RNA". The stretch from base 1 to 864 matches the Rfam family "Bacterial small subunit ribosomal RNA", at positions 532 to 1533 of the family's 1533-position model. Lineage: Bacteria; Bacillati; Bacillota; Bacilli; Caryophanales; Bacillaceae. The record is from RNAcentral.